This is a long non-coding RNA of Oncorhynchus tshawytscha (Chinook salmon), 1127 nucleotides long. NCBI's taxonomy places the organism in Eukaryota, Metazoa, Chordata, Actinopteri, Salmoniformes, Salmonidae. The record is from Ensembl.
UUGAUGGUGUAGAUUACAUCACCACCUGAUCCUAGACAUGUUGAUGGUGUAGAUUACAUCACCACCUGAUCCUAGACAUGUUGAUGGUGUAGAUUACAACACCACCUGAUCCUAGACAUGUUGAUGGUGUAGAUUACAUCACCACCUGAUCCUAGACAUGUUGAUGGUGUAGAUUACAUCACCACCUGAUCCUAGACAUGUUGAUGGUGUAGAUUACAUCACCUGAUCCUAGACAUGUUGAUGGUGUAGACAUCACCACCUGAUCCUAGACAUGUUGAUGGUGUAGAUUACAUCACCUGAUCCUAGACAUGUUGAUGGUGUAGAUUACAUCACCUGAUCCUAGACAUGUUGAUGGUGUAGAUUACAUCACCACCUGAUCCUAGACAUGUUGAUGGUGUAGAUUACAUCACCUGAUCCUAGACAUGUUGAUGGUGUAGAUUACAUCACCACCUGAUCCUAGACAUGUUGAUGGUGUAGAUUACAACACCACCUGAUCCUAGACAUGUUGAUGGUGUAGAUUACAUCACCUGAUCCUAGACAUGUUGAUGGUGUAGAUUACAUCACCACCUGAUCCUAGACAUGUUGAUGGUGUAGAUUACAUCACCACCUGAUCCUAGACAUGUUGAUGGUGUAGAUUACAUCACCACCUGAUCCUAGACAUGUUGAUGGUGUAGAUUACAUCACCUGAUCCUAGACAUGUUGAUGGUGUAGAUUACAUCACCACCUGAUCCUAGACAUGUUGAUGGUGUAGAUUACAUCACCACCUGAUCCUAGACAUGUUGAUAGUGUAGAUUACAUCACCUGAUCCUAGAACCGUUUAUAACUUUUUAACCAAUUUCUGCUUAAAAAUAAAACUGUGACUUUUUUCUAAAUGAAACUACUUUGUUAGCCACCCGAUGUUACUAUGACGAUGUUUAACGUGUUGCUGCUAAGGUUUUGUACCGUAGACUUGGAUCCUGAUCUGGAUGGAUCGUAGUUCUUCCUGUCCCUCAGUAGGGACUUCCUCCUUGUGUAACAGAUAAAUAUGUCCCCCCCCCUCUUCCUCUGUGCGUUGUGCUUUAUACCCCCCGAGACUAAUGUCAGUUCCUGACUGGUGUUUGUUUAUUAAACAACAAUAUUUACCUCUA